RNAcentral lists this long non-coding RNA (1315 nucleotides) under Homo sapiens (human). RNAcentral's name for it is "HSALNT0386191". Lineage: Eukaryota; Metazoa; Chordata; Mammalia; Primates; Hominidae. The record is from RNAcentral.
AAUAUAUAAAUUAAAAAGAAUGAAAAGAAUACUUCACCUCAGACCUCAGCCUUUCAUCCUUCAGCUGAAUGGAAUAUUUGGAUCUCACCUAUGAGCUCAAUAAGAAAAGAAAAACACAAAUGACUGAAAGCAGGACUUCAGCAGCCCUGAGAAAUCAUGGACGGGAAUCCACCUUUGUUUACUACAAAACACCCUGCUUCACGGUUUCUCAUUGUGCUACCUUCCUUCGGGGGAACCCCAGGAUUUCACAGGCUGAUAUCCCCAGCUACAUCCAAGUUUCCAGAAAUGAGGAUCCAUAGGCACAAAGUGAGGUGUCCCCAACCCUCCCUUUUUACAGCCCAUGCCUGAUAUUUAUCGGAACGUCCACAAGGCGAUGGUGAACGGUGGCCAAAUGAGAAGCUCAGUGUCUGGGAAAAUGAUUGAAAAUGGCCAAGUGCCACAGUGAGAGUUGUUUGUUCUGGGAAUGGAAGGAGGAAAUUGUCAGAGGAAGUGAAAUAGGAAAUGAAGAGAUCAAAGGGAGGAGGAAAUAAGAUUGAAUUGAGCCCUUUUUGGAUUCAACUUUGCACUCUUAACCCAUGUGAGGCAAAAAGAUUAGCCUUUAAACAGCUGGAGUUGGGGAGAAACACUUUCCAACGGGUGCAUCCUGGCGACUGUUAGCUCCCACAUCCCACCCCACAAAUGGACUGCAGCAGGGGAGCUGAGGGAAGCCAGAUCCGUUUCCUACAGAAAAUCCAGUGGUUUCUGAUGGCAGGAGGGAGGCGGUCUAUCUUCACUGCGGAUGGCGAGGUGCCUUUUGGAGGAGGAGGAUGGAGAGAAAGGGUCUCCAACAGCGAACCUUUGUCCUGCAAUGCAAAUGAACCUCUGCAAAACAGGGCGCAGACAAUGCCAGCCUAGUCCUCUGCGCGAAGCGAUCCAUCUGCAGCUAUUUUGUUAACCUGAUGUUUCUUACAUUCUUUCUCUCAUACAAAAUACUUGAUUUUGACAGCUGUGAAUUUUAAACAACCAUUCUGUGUAUGUUUUUCUAAUUUUGUGUAUUCAGAUUGUUUCUCCAUAUUGGGGGGGUUGGAAGCCAAGUACUUUACAUUCCUUCGUUUAGAGAUUUCAUGCUUUUCGAAAGUCGUGGCGGUUCUGAUCGCUAAACAAAGUAGAAAUGAAGUGUGCUCACCAGCAGCAUUGGAAUGACCGGGGAGUGCAGAAGCACUUUUGAAAUAAAAAAGGUUGCACAAGCGGACUGGAGGCAGGGCUCAGGAGUGACACAUCACUCAGUCACACUCUGGUGGCCCCAGGAAGCUGCGUCUGCCCUCACUUACCUGUA